This 415-nucleotide ribosomal RNA is filed under the name Salmonella enterica subsp. enterica serovar Kentucky. RNAcentral describes it as "partial 23S ribosomal RNA". It matches the Rfam family "Bacterial large subunit ribosomal RNA", at positions 161 to 612 of the family's 2925-position model. The record is from RNAcentral. Lineage: Bacteria; Pseudomonadati; Pseudomonadota; Gammaproteobacteria; Enterobacterales; Enterobacteriaceae.
AAUCCAUAGGUUAAUGAGGCGAACCGGGGGAACUGAAACAUCUAAGUACCCCGAGGAAAAGAAAUCAACCGAGAUUCCCCCAGUAGCGGCGAGCGAACGGGGAGGAGCCCAGAGCCUGAAUCAGCAUGUGUGUUAGUGGAAGCGUCUGGAAAGGCGCGCGAUACAGGGUGACAGCCCCGUACACAAAAGCGCAUGUGCUGUGAGCUCGAUGAGUAGGGCGGGACACGUGGUAUCCUGUCUGAAUAUGGGGGGACCAUCCUCCAAGGCUAAAUACUCCUGACUGACCGAUAGUGAACCAGUACCGUGAGGGAAAGGCGAAAAGAACCCCGGCGAGGGGAGUGAAAAAGAACCUGAAACCGUGUACGUACAAGCAGUGGGAGCACAGGUUUACCUGUGUGACUGCGUACCUUUUGUA